This is a long non-coding RNA of Sapajus apella (tufted capuchin), 625 nucleotides long. RefSeq lists it as uncharacterized. The record is from RefSeq and is a predicted model, not a curated record. The transcript is spliced from 2 exons. Lineage: Eukaryota; Metazoa; Chordata; Mammalia; Primates; Cebidae.
UUAGAAGAGAGAUAUCACUGGAGUAAACAAUGCAUGUUUGAUAGCAACACCAACUCAGAUGGUUAUUCCACAGAAUGUAGAACUGCCUCAGUAACACCUUUGUCAUCUUUGAAGCUGCUAGGAAAGGUCAGCAGAAAGUUCACCAGAAAGAUUCUGAAGAUAUAAACAAAAAACAUGGAACGGUGGAAACUUGAGGGUCAAGCAUUGGCAUGAGAGCCUUAGAAAGAGUAUAGAGUUGUCAGUCAAUUUCCAUUAUGCUGGAAACUAUAAUAAAUUGGGCAAAUGCAAUGCAAAGAAAACUGCUGACAGCAGACAUGUUCCUAAAAUGUAUGAAGAAUGAUGUAGUUGUUAAUUUAAUUAGUUGUUUAAAGCCAGACAAUUUCUUUCCAAAAAUUCUGGCUUGUCAAAAGUUAACGAUCAUAUUUCUUAAUCCAGCAAACUAAAUAUGACACUGAAUUACUUUAAAUAACACUGACACUUCCACAGGAAUGUUGAUAUGAAGCAUGGCAUUUAAUUUUUUAUGGAAAAUAUGAAUGCAUAGAAAGACAUGAAUGAUGCAUAAUAUGAAAAGCUGAUUCAAAAAUAAAAAUAUGACUGAUGAAACAAAAACUUUAGAGAAAUGUCA